This 78-nucleotide transfer RNA is filed under the name Pseudomonas phage Psa21. RNAcentral's name for it is "tRNA-Pro". It matches the Rfam family "tRNA". From Rfam's summary of the family: Transfer RNA (tRNA) molecules are approximately 80 nucleotides in length. The record is from RNAcentral. Lineage: Duplodnaviria; Heunggongvirae; Uroviricota; Caudoviricetes; Chimalliviridae.
UCAGAGUGUAGUUCAGUUGGUAGAAUGCGUGGUUUGGGACUACGUGGUCGGAGGUUCAAGUCCUCCCACUCUGACCAG